RNAcentral lists this ribosomal RNA (480 nucleotides) under uncultured bacterium. RNAcentral's name for it is "partial 16S ribosomal RNA". It matches the Rfam family "Bacterial small subunit ribosomal RNA", at positions 28 to 506 of the family's 1533-position model. The record is from RNAcentral.
GAUGAACGCUGGCGGCGUGCCUAACACAUGCAAGUCGAACGGAGAUUCCGGACGGAUGCUUUCGGAUGGAAGACUGUAAUUCUUAGUGGCGGACGGGGGAGUCACGCGUGGGCGACCUGCACUAUAUCGGGGGAUAGGAGCUGGAACCGGCUGAUAUGACCGCAUACAUGGGUGAGAAGGCAUGGUUUUGCUGGGAAACGCGUAUAGAGGUAUAGGAUGGGCAUGCGUCCGUUUAGACAGUAGGCAGGUUAAAAGCCUACCAAAGCAAGGAGCGGUAGCCGGACUGAGAGGUCGGACGGCCACAUUGGGACAGGGACACGGCCCAAACUCCUACGGGAGGCAGCAGGGGGGGAGAUGGCACAAUGGAGGAAACACGGAUGCAGCGAGGCCGCAAGAGUGAGGAAGUAGGUCGGUAUGUAAAGCUCAAUCAGCAGGGAAGAUGAUGACGGAACCAGACUAAGAAGCCCCGCUAAACUACGG